UUAAGGGCGUAUGGUGGAUGCCUUGACUCCAAUGAAGUGAUGAAGGACGCGACAUGGCGGCGAUACGCUACGGGGAGAUGCCUAGUAAUCUUUGAUCCGUAGAUGUCCGAAUGGGGAAACCCGGUGACUUUUGUCAUCACCCUACGAAUUACGUAGGGAACGCACUCAGGGAAGUAAAACAUUUCAGUACCUGAAGGAAAAGAAAACAAUAGUUAUUUCGUUAGUAGCGGCGAGCGAAAACGAAGAAGCCCAAACCUAGUUUCAUUCUCACAACGCGAAUAGAAUCACUUGUGAUUGCUACCGGUUCACUCGGUCUCUGUGUAAGUUUACUUACACAUGACCUCGUUGCCGGAAGUCGUUUUGUGGGAUUGAUGCUGGGGGUUGUAAGGCGGAAACGUCAUUAAUUUAUUAAUGAGAAAAGUUAAAAAAUGUUUGGUUAGCUGAAGCUUCUGGAAAGUAGCACCCCAGUGGGUAAUAGUCCCGUAAGCGAAAAUCAAACAACUUUUUUGUUUCCGUUCUUGAGUACCUCGAGACACGAAUACCUCGGGGGAAUCUGCCGGAACUAACCGGUAAGGCUAAAUAUUCUUGGAGAUCGAUAGUGAACUAGUACCGUGAGGGAAAGGUGAAAAGCAGCCCGGUGAGGGCGGUGAAAUAGAUCUGAAACCAUAUGUUUACAAGGAGUCGGCGAGGGGCGGAAGCUCCUCUACGGCGUGCCUAUUGAAGAAUGAGCCAACGAGUUUAUGUAUACUGCGCGGCUAAGUCCCGAUAAAGGAUGGAGCCAUAGGGAAACCGAGUGUGAAUAGCGCGAUAGUAGUAUGCAUAAGACCCGAAGCCAGUGCGAGCUUGUCAUGAGCAGGAUGAACUUUGUCGAAAGAUGAAGGGAGGUCCGAACCGGUGAGCCGUUCAACACUCUCGGAUGACUUGUGAUAAGAAGUGAAAAGCUAAUCGAGCCUGGUAAUAGCUGGUUCUCUCCGAAAUAGCUUUUGGGCUAGCGUGACGUGUUCCCCUUGGGGGUAGAGCACUGGAAGGUUUGGACAGGGAGAAAUCUCGCUAAACCUAUCAAACUCCGAAUACCAAGGACUAAAAACGUUGCAGUUAGACUCCGGGGGCUAAGCUCCGGUGGUCAAAAAGGAAACAGCCUAGAUCUCUAUUUAAGGUCCCUAAAUUCAUACUAAGUGCACUUAAGGAGGUGAUAUUUCUCUGACACUGAGGAGGUUGGCUUAGAAGCAGCCAUCCUUUAAAGAAAGCGUAACAGCUCACUCAGUAAGAGAUAUUGCACCGCAGAUUCAUGGGGCUAAGUAUGGUACCGAAACUGAGGGUUUGUAUUUUCUUCGGAAAAUAUAAGCGGUAGGAGAGUAUUCGCAUCUGCUGUGAAGGCAAAGGGGUGACCCAUGCUGGAGCGUUGCGAAGUAAGAAUGUUGGCACAAGUAACCACAAUGCGGGUGAGAAACCCGCACGUCGAAAGAUCAAGGUUUCCUUGGCAAUGAUUGUCAGCCAAGGGUUAGUCGGUCCUAAGGGAAUGGUGAGAACCGCACUCGAUGGACAUACGGUUAAUAUUCCGUAACUUUUGCAGUAAGUGAUGGGAGGACGGGGGUAAGUAUAUAACGCGCACGAUUGGAUGUGACGUCUCUUGUUUAAGGAAGUGCUCCAGGAAAAUCCGGACACUGGCUUUAAGGCCGAUUCCAAGAAAGGGAGAAACGCAGCGGUUCGCCGUUGUGAAUGUUAUAAAGCUACCCUCCAAGAAAAUUCUCUAAACUUAUUACUGUAAAACCCGUACCGCAAACCGACACAGGUGAUCAGGUCGAGAAGACCAAGACGAACGAGUGAGACGUCCCCAAGGAACUCGGCAAAAAAGCAGCCGUAACUUCGGAAUAAGGCUUGCCCUGGGCAUCACAUGGAAUGGGAUGGCCAGUAGACAGUAAAAAGUAGACAGCAGGCAGUGAGAAUGCAAUUCGUAUUCAACUGUUUACUACCUACUUCCUACUAUUUACUUGGAUCAUCGCGCUUCGCGUGAUGCUCGGGGCCGCAGCUAAAGUAUCUCUGGCAACUGUUUACCAAAAACACAGCUCCCUGCGAACUCGCAAGAGGAUGUAUAGGGGGUGACACCUGACCAAUGCCAGAAGGUUAAACGUCGGCGGUGAUUUUCGCAAGAAAUGAGCUGACUGAUGUAAGCCCUGGUGAAUGUCGGCCGUAACUAUAACGGUGGUUUUGCUACGCUUCUUGGCUUUUGCCAAGAAGAAACAAAAAGGGCCGUUGUAAAAUUUGGCUAAAUGCUGGAAAACCCGCAAUGAACUUUUGGUACCUUGAUGGUAAAAAUCCAAAAGCCGACGCGGACAAUCAGCAGGAAAGAUUCUAAGAGUGUCAUCUAAUACGAUGACAAAAGAAAAACAAAAAGAAUACUAUGAUCGUCUGUCAAGAUUGCAAGGAAAAUAUCUCAAUUAUUUUGUUGCAGGAUUUGUGGACGGUGAAUCGAGUUUCAGUGUUGCAAUAACGCGACAAAAGUAUCCGUCCUUAACAAAAGGAUGGAGAUGGAUUCUUAACCCGGUCUUUAAUGUUUAUCAACACGAAAACAAUAAAGACAUACUCCUUCUUUUAAGAGAUAAAGUAUUCAAAACUGGCAGAAUCCAUAAAAAAACUUCUCCGUAUAAUGUAUUUACUUAUACGAUUGAAAACAAUAAAACGCUUCAUGAAAAAAUAGUACCCUUCUUUAACAAAUAUCAACUUGCUACUAAGGCAGAGGACUUUAAAAAGUUUUCUCAAGUGGUAAGCAUGAUGAAUGAAAAAGUUCAUCUUGAUAUCGAAGGAUUCAAGCGAGUUGUAGAAAUAGCAUUUACAAUGCAUGCUCAGGGUAAAAAUCGAAAGUACUCGAAAGAAUACAUUUUCGAAACA
Molecule: ribosomal RNA, 2889 nt
Filed under: sediment metagenome
Description: bacterial LSU rRNA
Rfam family: Bacterial large subunit ribosomal RNA (bases 1-2337)
Source: RNAcentral